This 72-nucleotide transfer RNA is filed under the name Phrynosoma platyrhinos (Desert horned lizard). Its description in RNAcentral is "tRNA-OTHER". Lineage: Eukaryota; Metazoa; Chordata; Lepidosauria; Squamata; Phrynosomatidae. The record is from RNAcentral.
GCCAGUGUGGUGUAGUGGUCUGAGCAUUGGACUAUGACUCUGGAGAUCAGGAUUCGAAUCUCCACUCAGUCA